This 424-nucleotide ribosomal RNA is filed under the name uncultured bacterium. RNAcentral describes it as "bacterial SSU rRNA". It matches the Rfam family "Bacterial small subunit ribosomal RNA", at positions 359 to 775 of the family's 1533-position model. The record is from RNAcentral.
GAAUAUUGGACAAUGGGGGCAACCCUGAUCCAGCCAUCCCGCGUGUGCGAUGAAGGCCUUCGGGUUGUAAAGCACUUUUGGCAGGGAAGAAAAGGCUCUGGCUAAUACCUGGAGCUGCUGAAGGUACCUGCAGAAUAAGCAACGGCUCACGACGUGCCAGCAGCCGCGGUAAUACGUAGGGUGCAAGCGUUAAUCGGAAUUACUGGGCGUAAAGCGUGCGCAGGCGGUUUGGCAAGAAGGAUGUGAAAUCCCAGGGCUUAACCUUGGAACUGCAUUCUUAACUGCCAGGCUAGAGUAUGUCAGGGGGGGGUAGAAUUCCACGUGUAGCAGUGAAAUGCGUAGAGAUGUGGAGGAAUACCGAUGGCGAAGGCAGCCCCCUGGGAUAAUACUGACGCUCUUGCACGAAAGCGUGGGGAGCAAACAG